CACCGCGGUUAUACGAGAGGCCCAAGUUGAUAGUCCACGGCGUAAAGAGUGGUUAGAGAACUCCCAUUACUAAAGCCGAACCCCUUCAAGGCUGUUAUACGCACACCGAAGAGGAGAAGCCCGCCCACGAAAGUGGCUUUACAAUCUUGAACCCACGAAAGCUAAGGUA
This 169-nucleotide ribosomal RNA is filed under the name Nibea albiflora (white flower croaker). RNAcentral describes it as "partial small subunit ribosomal RNA". Lineage: Eukaryota; Metazoa; Chordata; Actinopteri; Sciaenidae. The record is from RNAcentral.